This 253-nucleotide ribosomal RNA is filed under the name uncultured bacterium. Its description in RNAcentral is "partial 16S ribosomal RNA". It matches the Rfam family "Bacterial small subunit ribosomal RNA", at positions 524 to 776 of the family's 1533-position model. The record is from RNAcentral.
GACGUAGGGCGCGAGCGUUGUCCGGAUUUAUUGGGCGUAAAGAGCUCGUAGGCGGUUUGUCGCGUCGUCUGUGAAAACCCACGGCUCAACUGUGGGCUUGCAGGCGAUACGGGCAGGCUAGAGUUCGGUAGGGGAGACUGGAAUUCCUGGUGUAGCGGUAAAAUGCGCAGAUAUCAGGAGGAACACCGGUGGCGAAGGCGGGUCUCUGGGCCGAUACUGACGCUGAGGAGCGAAAGCGUGGGGAGCGAACAGG